This 492-nucleotide ribosomal RNA is filed under the name uncultured bacterium. RNAcentral's name for it is "partial 16S ribosomal RNA". It matches the Rfam family "Bacterial small subunit ribosomal RNA", at positions 28 to 507 of the family's 1533-position model. The record is from RNAcentral.
GGUGAACGCUAGCUACAGGCUUAACACAUGCAAGUCGAGGGGAAACGACAUCGAAAGCUUGCUUUUGAUGGGCGUCGACCGGCGCACGGGUGAGUAACGCGUAUCCAACCUGCCCACCACUUGGGGAUAACCUUGCGAAAGUAAGACUAAUACCCAAUGACGUCUCUAGAAGACAUCUGAAAGAGAUUAAAGAUUUAUCGGUGAUGGAUGGGGAUGCGUCUGAUUAGCUUGUUGGCGGGGUAACGGCCCACCAAGGCGACGAUCAGUAGGGGUUCUGAGAGGAAGGUCCCCCACAUUGGAACUGAGACACGGUCCAAACUCCUACGGGAGGCAGCAGUGAGGAAUAUUGGUCAAUGGACGAGAGUCUGAACCAGCCAAGUAGCGUGCAGGAUGACGGCCCUAUGGGUUGUAAACUGCUUUUAUAAGGGAAUAAAGUGAGUCUCGGGAGACUUUUUGCAUGUACCUUAUGAAUAAGGACCGGCUAAUUCCGUG